This 939-nucleotide ribosomal RNA is filed under the name uncultured bacterium. RNAcentral describes it as "bacterial SSU rRNA". It matches the Rfam family "Bacterial small subunit ribosomal RNA", at positions 9 to 926 of the family's 1533-position model. The record is from RNAcentral.
GAGUUUGAUCCUGGCUCAGAACGAACGCUGACGGCGUGCCUAACACAUGCAAGUCGAACGAGAAAAUCCUGGCUUGCCGGGAUGAGUAAAGUGGCGCACGGGUGAGUAACGCGUGGGUAAUCUACCUUCAAGUCAGGGAUAACAUUGCGAAAGUGAUGCUAAUACCUGAUAUGCUCACGGUUUUAUGAACAGUGGGAAAAGGUGGCCUCUGACCCAAGCUAUCGCUUGAAGAUGAGCCCGCGUACCAUUAGCUAGUUGGUAGGGUAAUGGCCUACCAAGGCGACGAUGGUUAGCUGGCCUGAGAGGGCGGCCAGCCACACUGGAACUGAGACACGGUCCAGACUCCUACGGGAGGCAGCAGUGGGGAAUAUUGCGCAAUGGGGGAAACCCUGACGCAGCGACGCCGUGUGAGUGAUGAAGGUCUUCGGAUCGUAAAGCUCUGUCGGAUGGGACGAAUGAGGACUGGGUGAAUAAUCCGGUCUAAUGACGGUACCGUCGAAGGAAGCACCGGCUAACUCCGUGCCAGCAGCCGCGGUAAUACGGAGGGUGCAAGCGUUGUUCGGAAUUACUGGGCGUAAAGGGCGUGUAGGCGGAUAUAUAAGUCAGAUGUGAAAUCCCUUAGCUUAACUAAGGAAGUGCAUCUGAAACUGUAUAUCUUGAGUACGAUAGAGGAGAGUGGAAUUCCCAGUGUAGAGGUGAAAUUCAUAGAUAUUGGGAAGAACACCGGUGGCGAAGGCGGCUCUCUGGAUCGAUACUGACGCUGAUACGCGAAAGCGUGGGGAGCAAACAGGAUUAGAUACCCUGGUAGUCCACGCUGUAAACGAUGUGCACUANGUGUUGGAAGUAAUUAAACUUUCAGUGCCGAAGCUAACGCAUUAAGUGCACCGCCUGAGGAUUACGGUCGCAGAUUAAACUCAAAGGAAUUGACGGGGCCCGCAC